UACGUAGGUGGCAAGCGUUAUCCGGAUUUAUUGGGCGUAAAGGGAGCGUAGACGGCAAUGCAAGCCAGAUGUGAAAGCCCGGGGCUCAACCCCGGGACUGCAUUUGGAACUGUGUAGCUGGAGUGUCGGAGAGGCAGGCGGAAUUCCUAGUGUAGCGGUGAAAUGCGUAGAUAUUAGGAGGAACACCAGUGGCGAAGGCGGCCUGCUGGACGAUAACUGACGUUGAGGCUCGAAAGCGUGGGGAGCAAAUA
RNAcentral lists this ribosomal RNA (251 nucleotides) under uncultured bacterium. RNAcentral describes it as "partial 16S ribosomal RNA". It matches the Rfam family "Bacterial small subunit ribosomal RNA", at positions 524 to 774 of the family's 1533-position model. The record is from RNAcentral.